RNAcentral lists this long non-coding RNA (4429 nucleotides) under Lactuca sativa (garden lettuce). RNAcentral describes it as "long non-coding RNA (LSAT_LNC009671)". The record is from RNAcentral. Lineage: Eukaryota; Viridiplantae; Streptophyta; Magnoliopsida; Asterales; Asteraceae.
UGGGCGAGGAGGGAAGCACAUGAAGAAAGUUCAACAGGUAGAUCUUCAAUUGUGUUUCUUGAAAUUAAGAUCAACUUUUGUGGUGGAACAACACUUAACCCAUGCCCUCCUAAAGAAAAGGGUUUAUUUUUUACAAAAUCAUUCAGAUUCUUUAAUAAUAAUCUAUAUGUUGGAUGAAAGAAGUAAGAAAAUAUAACCUUUGAAGCAAGCGAUAAACAGGAGGCCAUAGCAAUAACUUUUUCCUUGCUCUUAGAUGUUCCACUUUCUGCAUCAUUUUUAAUUAGAAAUAAAUCAAAUGAGUUUCGAAAAAAACAUUCAUUUAGGGAUUGGAUUAUCCACUUAAAAGCUAAAGCAAUCCCAUUUGGAAUUGAUUGAAGAAAAGCUGUUGCAAUUAGUGGCAUUGAAUGCUUCCCCAGAUUGGCAUAUUCCGAUUCCGAUUCCGGUGGCACAGGGGGCAUGGCUAAAACUUGGGGAUUCCUAUCAUAAAAUCCAACAUCUAAAUCUUAAUUACAAAAUAAAUAAAAGAUGUUGAUCAUUUCAAAAACCAAAAACAGAGUUAGUUAGUUAGUUACAAAAUCAGAAAUGACAUCAAUCAACUUAACUUGCUCCUCCUCUGUGGAAAUUUUGAGCAUCGAUCAAAAACAAAGCAUUGGUUACCUGUAGAUUUUGCUAAAUUGUUUUGUACUAGUUAAAUUUUAGGAGUUUUUUUGAAAUAGAAAGGUAGAUGGUUUAUAGUUGUUUGAUUUGUUUUUUUUUCUUUAAUAAGGCAUUGCAUUGUGAUAUAGACUAGGGAAAAAUUGAAGUGUUUUGUACUAGUUAAAUUUUAGGAGUUGUUUGAUUGUUUUUGUUUAGGAUUGUACCGUACGAUUCCGGCGUUCUACCACCCCGUUGUGUUGUGGGGAGUAGGGUGCUGUCAACUGCCUCUUAAUUCCUUCCUGAUUGCAAAACUCAAUGAAUUCAUUAGACGUGAAUUGAAUUCACCUCCUCGAUCUGUGCGCAACAUCUUUAAUUUGAAUUUCCCUUCACUUUCUACUCUUAGUUCUGAUCAUCGAUACCCACAUCACAUGAACCUGCUGUAGUCAUCUAUCUACCAUGAGAAGGAAAUAUUGAUUUCCUGCUAAGGUUUGGGGGGAUAUAGGACCCCCCCACAUAGAUCAGCAUGAACCAAUUCCACGUAGCCUCCAUCUUGAUUGCCCAUUUUGUACAAGUCAGCAGUGGGCACUGGAACGAUACUCCACCGUUAUCUUUUGUGAGAACCUGUCAUGUUAUCGUAUCUAAUGUAUUUGGGCAUAAACUAGAAAGCUCUGAUACCAAGUGUUGGUUCAGGCCUAGGAUCAAAGAAAGUUUACACCCAAACAGAGUAAGUAACAGAGGUUUCUUUUAUUUCUGAAUACACCUAAACAAAGGAAAGCUACAAUACUUAAAUAGAGGACAAAACAAAGCUGCAAAGCUAAACUGCAACAAAAGUGUGCUCCUAAAGUGGUGGCAACUAAGCCACUUAUUCCUAUCGACAAGAUCAACACGGGACCAAGUCAGAAUUACUUUUCCCACAAACAGUACCUACAUUCAAACAACAAUUUAAGCAUCAGAUUAAAAUUUUAAAAAUUAUUAAACAUACCACACCCAAUUGCUAUUUUUGCUAGGACAUGGACAUGGACACUUAUCUAGAUUAGAUUCUGGAAGGUAGUUUUGUCAAAAACUUGAGAGAUAAUUCCUUGAAAGAUUCAUUCAUUUAUCUCCUUUGAUAUCUCUAUGUAUGUCCUGAAACAACAAAAUCAAAUGUUAAAGAGUCAUAUUAAAUUUUUAAAAAUUAUUAAAUAUACUAUACCCAACUUAGUUGCUACGACAUGAACAUGGACACUUAUCUAGAUUAGAUUCUGGAAAAUAGUUUUCUCAAAACUUGAGAUGAUUUCUUGAAAGAUUCAUUCAUUUAUCUCCUUUGAUAACUCUAUGUAUGUCCUGAAACAAUGAAAUCAAAUCAAAUGUUUCUGAGUGAGUCAGAUUAAAAUUUAAAAAAAUUAUUAAACAUACCCAGCUGCUAGGAAUAACCAACCAACAGAAGAAUUUAAAAGAGACAAAUAAUAAGCAAGAGGACUUUUAACUAAAUAAAGUACAUUAUUACCUGCAAUUUUGCUUUCUCAUGCACAACUUUUCAUAAUUCAAAUCCAUACUUUAACAUCACAAUAAAACUCAAGGAAUAAUCAUACUUACUGUAUAAGAAACACAAUUUUUCAUUUGAAUCCAACGCCAGACCUCCCCUCCUCCUCCUUCUUCUUCUUCCAAGUUUGUACACUGCUACUGCAACAAAAAUAUUGCUAUUAUAGAUAAAGAAGGUAAGUAGUAUAUAUGAUGCCUGGUAAAAAGAGUAACGUAUGUUGGUAUUAUACAUACCAGAAGAGAUGAUAAAACAUCAUUAUAGCGUUUGAAUGAUGGCUGUAAAUUUUGAUACUCUCUGGUUUGGGUUGGUGGGAUAGGGUUUGAACUUGAUUCAUUAGAAAUGGUGGAUUCGGAAGGUAGUUUUGUCAGAUGAUUUUUUGAAAGAUUGAUUCAUUUAUCUCCUUUGAUAACCCUAUCUCUAUGUAUGUCCUGAAACAAUGUAAUCAAAUGUUUUUGAGUCACAUUAAUAUUUUAAAAAAUUAUUAAACAUACCACACCCAGUUGUUAUUUAUUGCUAGGACAUGGGCCAUUUUUUGCAGUUUUGUUUUUAAUCUACUUGAUCAGUAAGGUGAAGAUUUGGAUUUGGAUGGAAAAGUAGUAAAAUGAAUAGGAACAGUGUUCUUUCCAAACCUGCAAUGCAAUAUUAGUUUGGUGUGGUGUGGUGCAACCACAGACACCAUUUAGUAGAGCUUCAAACCCAUCUGAUGGAAUCUACAAAUGAAGGAGAAUGAGAUAACAUACGAAAAAUGACAAAUAUUAUCCCUUUAAAAAGUCUAAUUUACCAUUACUAUCCAGUUUUAAACACACACACACACUAGAUGUUGAAGUGACUUCAAGAUUACACUUGUUCCUUGAUCAAAAUCAAAAUCAAAGUCUGCAAGAACAAUAAUCCUUUAAUAAUUAAUUACCACUGAUACUUUUCAUAUUUGGAUUAAAAAGUGGGCGAGGAGGGAAGCACAUGAAGAAAGUUCAACAGGUAGAUCUUCAAUUGUGUUUCUUGAAAUUAAGAUCAACUUUUGUGGUGGAACAACACUUAACCCAUGCCCUCCUAAAGAAAAGGGUUUAUUUUUUUCAAAAUUAUAUUACUAAUAGCCAUGCACAUAAGCUGUUAUGUCCAGAAACUUGGUAUUUCUAAAGUCAAAAAUCAAAAUUUUCGGUUGUAGUAAAAAACUGAAUCCAAUAAGUGCAAAUGAUCUAUCUCUAAGUAGCAAAGAGUAAAUGAACUUUUUGACCUAAAAUCACAUAAAAGGAAAUUAAAAGUCAUUUCCUCAAUUUGAUAUUUGGACUAAAGAUUAUUGUUGAAAGUACCUUUCUAUUUAGAAGUGAUGUCAACUAACAAAUAACAAAAAAAGAAAAAGGGCUGAAAAUUCCUUUAGCAUAAUCACUUUUCUUCCCAUAUAACUAUAGCAUAAAGAAACUAAAUGAGAGUGAAAACCCAUGGUUUGCUCAAAAAUACACCAAAUGGUACAGUCAAAUCUUAACAUGCUGAUAUAGAUACAAUAUCCAAGAUAUCAACUAUUUUUUAUUAUGAAAUAGUUGAUCUUUCUUUUCUUCCAGGAUGAGUAAGCUAACCAAGUUUAUGAUUUAACCCAAACAAAAUGCAGGAAAGCUAGGAAUCACAAAAACACACACACACACACGUGGUAAGUAGCACAAAAUUACAGACAAUAGUCUGUAAUAGCAUUUGAUAAGAACAAAUAUCUCAUGGGCAUUUUAUCAAUCACAUAGAGUGCAACAUCAAAUGCAAGGUUAAGAAGGCAAUCAGAUACAACACACAUUCAUGAUAAUAAAAAAUCGAAUACAAUUAAUAAAAAUUAAGAACAUCAGAUUAAAGAAGAAACCUAGAUGACGAAUGAAUUGAAGAAGAAAACCAAGGUGUGAAUAAUAGCCAGAACAGUAAUCGAAUUUAUAGAGUGAUUUCAAUAUGGAAUUCAUUUUGUUCCACAAAAAUUGGGAUCUCACGUAUCAACAGAGAUUAACGACUCGAAAAUAGAGCCUAUAUAUGGGAACUCUAUCAAUUUACUUCAUUAAAAAUUCAAAUUCAAAUUGAGGAGAUGAUUUACGGGAGAGUUAAUAUGAAAGCAAUUCUCCUGUUUACUAAAUUGAAGAAAAAAUGUUGUGAGAGUAAAAUGGAUACAGAAAGUAUGUUGUAUGGGAUGUGAAUUUGGAAUGCAACAAUGGUCUGAGGAAAAUAAGGCAAUUGAUUUGAGAAAACACGUUAUAGAUUCAAUUGGUUGCUGAUAUGUGGGACCUCAAAUAAAGCCCAUAUUAC